GAUGAACGCUAGCGGGAGGCCUAACACAUGCAAGCCGAGCGGUAGAGUUUCUUCGGAAACUUGAGAGCGGCGCACGGGUGCGUAACACGUGUGCAACCUACCUUUAUCUGGGGGAUAGCCUUUCGAAAGGAAGAUUAAUACCCCAUAAUAUAAUGAUUGGCAUCAAUUAUUAUUGAAAACUCCGGUGGAUAGAGAUGGGCACGCGCAAGAUUAGAUAGUUGGUGAGGUAACGGCUCACCAAGUCAAUGAUCUUUAGGGGUCCUGAGAGGGAGAUCCCCCACACUGGUACUGAGACACGGACCAGACUCCUACGGGAGGCAGCAGUGAGGAAUAUUGAACAAUGGGUGAGAGCCUGAUCCAGCCAUCCCGCGUGAAGGAUGACGGUCCUAUGGAUUGUAAACUUCUUUUGUACAGGGAUAAACCUACUCUCGUGAGGGUAGCUGAAGGUACUGUACGAAUAAGCACCGGCUAACUCCGUG
Molecule: ribosomal RNA, 479 nt
Filed under: uncultured bacterium
Lineage: Bacteria
Description: partial 16S ribosomal RNA
Rfam family: Bacterial small subunit ribosomal RNA
Source: RNAcentral